GAUGAACGCUGGCGGCGUGCCUAAUACAUGCAAGUCGAGCGAACAGACGAGGAGCUUGCUCCUCUGACGUUAGCGUCGGACGGGGGAGUAACACGUGGAUAACCUACCUAUAAGACUGGGAUAACUUCGGGAAACCGGAGCUAAUACCGGAUAAUAUAUUAAACCGCAUGGUUCAAUAGUGAAAGACGGUUUUGCUGUCACUUAUAGAUGGAUCCGCGCCGCAUUAGCUAGUUGGUAAGGUAACGGCUUACCAAGGCAACGAUGCGUAGCCGACCUGAGAGGGUGAUCGGCCACACUGGAACUGAGACACGGUCCAGACUCCUACGGGAGGCAGCAGUAGGGAAUCUUCCGCAAUGGGCGAAAGCCUGACGGAGCAACGCCGCGGGAGUGAUGAAGGUCUUCGGAUCGUAAAACUCUGUUAUUAGGGAAGAACAAAUGUGUAAGUAACUAUGCACGUCUUGACGGUACCUAAUCAGAAAGCCACGGCUAACUACGUG
This 497-nucleotide ribosomal RNA is filed under the name uncultured bacterium. RNAcentral describes it as "partial 16S ribosomal RNA". It matches the Rfam family "Bacterial small subunit ribosomal RNA", at positions 28 to 507 of the family's 1533-position model. The record is from RNAcentral.